RNAcentral lists this ribosomal RNA (496 nucleotides) under uncultured bacterium. RNAcentral describes it as "partial 16S ribosomal RNA". It matches the Rfam family "Bacterial small subunit ribosomal RNA", at positions 29 to 507 of the family's 1533-position model. The record is from RNAcentral.
AUGAACGCUGGCGGCGUGCCUAAUCCCUGCAAGUCGAGCGAACAGACGAGGAGCUUGCUCCUCUGACGUUAGCGGCGGACGGGUGAGUAACACGUGGAUAACCUACCUAUAAGACUGGGAUAACUUCGGGAAACCGGAGCUAAUACCGGAUAAUAUAUUGAACCGCAUGGUUCAAUAGUGAAAGACGGUUUUGCUGUCACUUAUAGAUGGAUCCGCGCCGCAUUAGCUAGUUGGUAAGGUAACGGCUUACCAAGGCAACGAUGCGUAGCCGACCUGAGAGGGUGAUCGGCCACACUGGAACUGAGACACGGUCCAGACUCCUACGGGAGGCAGCAGUAGGGAAUCUUCCGCAAUGGGCGAAAGCCUGACGGAGCAACGCCGCGUGAAUGAUGAAGGUCUUCGGAUCGUAAAACUCUGUUAUUAGGGAAGAACAAAUGUGUAAGUAACUAUGCACGUCUUGACGGUACCUAAUCAGAAAGCCACGGCUAACUACGUG